AAUAGAUACCCGGGUAGUCCACGCCGUAAACGAUGAGUGCUAAGUGUUAGAGGGUUUCCGCCCUUUAGUGCUGCAGCUAACGCAUUAAGCACUCCGCCUGGGGAGUACGGUCGCAAGACUGAAACUCAAAGGAAUUGACGGGGGCCCGCACAAGCGGUGGAGCAUGUGGUUUAAUUCGAAGCAACGCGAAGAACCUUACCAGGUCUUGACAUCCUCUGACAACUCUAGAGAUAGAGCGUUCCCCUUCGGGGGACAGAGUGACAGGUGGUGCAUGGUUGUCGUCAGCUCGUGUCGUGAGAUGUUGGGUUAAGUCCCGCAACGAGCGCAACCCUUGAUCUUAGUUGCCAGCAUUUAGUUGGGCACUCUAAGGUGACUGCCGGUGACAAACCGGAGGAAGGUGGGGAUGACGUCAAAUCAUCAUGCCCCUUAUGACCGUGGGCUACACACGUGCUACAAUGGAUGGUACAAAGGGCUGCAAGACCGCGAGGUCAACGCCAAUCCCAAUAAAACCAUUCUCUAGUUCGGAUUGUAGG
This 533-nucleotide ribosomal RNA is filed under the name uncultured bacterium. RNAcentral describes it as "bacterial SSU rRNA". It matches the Rfam family "Bacterial small subunit ribosomal RNA", at positions 777 to 1304 of the family's 1533-position model. The record is from RNAcentral.